RNAcentral lists this ribosomal RNA (324 nucleotides) under uncultured Veillonellaceae bacterium. RNAcentral's name for it is "bacterial SSU rRNA". It matches the Rfam family "Bacterial small subunit ribosomal RNA", at positions 1 to 339 of the family's 1533-position model. The record is from RNAcentral. Lineage: Bacteria; Bacillati; Bacillota; Negativicutes; Veillonellales; Veillonellaceae.
AGUAGUUUGACUCCGUGGCUCGAGGACGACGCUGGCGGCGUGCUUAACACAUGCAAGUCGAACGGGGUACUUGUACCUAGUGGCGAACGGGUGAGUAACGCGUAGAUAACCUGCCUUUAAGUUGGGGACAACAGCUCGAAAGGGUUGCUAAUACCGAAUGUUAUAAAUUUUUCGCAUGAAAGAUUUAUUAAAGAUUUUAUCGCUUAAAGAGGGGUCUGCGUCCGAUUAGGUAGUUGGUAGGGUAAAGGCCUACCAAGCCGACGAUCGGUAACCGGUCUGAGAGGAUGAACGGUCACAUUGGGACUGAGACACGGCCCAGACUCC